This 431-nucleotide ribosomal RNA is filed under the name uncultured bacterium. RNAcentral's name for it is "partial 16S ribosomal RNA". It matches the Rfam family "Bacterial small subunit ribosomal RNA", at positions 29 to 505 of the family's 1533-position model. The record is from RNAcentral.
AACGAACGCUGGCGGCAUGCCUAACACAUGCAAGUCGAACGAGACCUUCGGGUCUAGUGGCGCACGGGUGCGUAACGCGUGGGAACCUGCCCUUAGGUUCGGAAUAACUCCCCGAAAGGGGUGCUAAUACCGGAUAAUGUCUUCGGACCAAAGAUUUAUCGCCUUUGGAUGGGCCCGCGUUGGAUUAGCUAGUUGGUAGGGUAAAAGCCUACCAAGGCGACGAUCCAUAGCUGGUCUGAGAGGAUGAUCAGCCACACUGGGACUGAGACACGGCCCAGACUCCUACGGGAGGCAGCAGUGGGGAAUAUUGGACAAUGGGCGAAAGCCUGAUCCAGCAAUGCCGCGUGAGUGAUGAAGGCCGUAGGGUUGUAAAGCUCUUUUACCCGGGAUGAUAAUGACAGUACCGGGAGAAUAAGCUCCGGCUAACUCCG